UACGUAGGGUGCGAGCGUUGUCCGGAAUUAUUGGGCGUAAAGAGCUUGUAGGCGGUCUGUCGCGUCUGCUGUGAAAAUCCGGGGCUCAACCCCGGACUUGCAGUGGGUACGGGCAGACUAGAGUGUGGUAGGGGAGACUGGAAUUCCUGGUGUAGCGGUGAAAUGCGCAGAUAUCAGGAGGAACACCGACGGCGAAGGCAGGUCUCUGGGCCACUACUGACGCUGAGAAGCGAAAGCAUGGGGAGCGAACAGG
RNAcentral lists this ribosomal RNA (253 nucleotides) under uncultured bacterium. RNAcentral describes it as "partial 16S ribosomal RNA". It matches the Rfam family "Bacterial small subunit ribosomal RNA", at positions 524 to 776 of the family's 1533-position model. The record is from RNAcentral.